This 257-nucleotide ribosomal RNA is filed under the name uncultured bacterium. RNAcentral describes it as "partial 16S ribosomal RNA". It matches the Rfam family "Bacterial small subunit ribosomal RNA", at positions 524 to 776 of the family's 1533-position model. The record is from RNAcentral.
GACAGAGGGUGCAAACGUUGCUCGGAAUUACUGGGCGUAAAGGGCGGUGUAGGCGGGGAAGGCAAGCUCGGGCGUGAAAGCCCCAGGCUCAACCUGGGAACUGCACUCGAAACUGCCUUUCUGAGUGCCGGAGAGGAAAGCGGAAUUCCUGGUGUAGAGGUGAAAUUCGUAGAUAUCAGGAGGAACACCAGUGGCGAAGGCGGCUUUCUGGACGGUAACUGACGCUGGAGAACGCGAAAGCGUGGGGAGCAAACAGG